UAUACAUGCAAGUCGAGCGAACCGACGGGAGCUUGCUCCCUUAGGUUAGCGGCGGACGGGUGAGUAACACGUGGGUAACCUGCCUGUAAGACUGGGAUAACUCCGGGAAACCGGGGCUAAUACCGGAUGCUUGAUUGAACCGCAUGGUUCAAUCAUAAAAGGCGGCUUCGGCUGCCGUUUACAGAUGGACCCGCGGCGCAUUAGCUAGUUGGUGAGGUAACGGCUCACCAAGGCGACGAUGCGUAGCCGACCUGAGAGGGUGAUCGGCCACACUGGGACUGAGACACGGCCCAGACUCCUACGGGAGGCAGCAGUAGGGAAUCUUCCGCAAUGGACGAAAGUCUGACGGAGCAACGCCGCGUGAGUGAUGAAGGUUUUCGGAUCGUANAGCUCUGUUGUUAGGGAAGAACAAGUACCGUUCGAAUAGGGCGGUACCUUGACGGUACCUAACCAGAAAGCCACGGCUAACUACGUGCCAGCAGCCGCGGUAAUACGUAGGUGGCAAGCGUUGUCCGGAAUUA
RNAcentral lists this ribosomal RNA (521 nucleotides) under Bacillus sp. PSu1_35. RNAcentral's name for it is "bacterial SSU rRNA". It matches the Rfam family "Bacterial small subunit ribosomal RNA", at positions 50 to 553 of the family's 1533-position model. The record is from RNAcentral. Lineage: Bacteria; Bacillati; Bacillota; Bacilli; Caryophanales; Bacillaceae.